GUGCCAGCAGCCGCGGUAAUACGUAGGUGGCAAGCGUUGUCCGGAUUUAUUGGGUUUAAAGGGUGCGUAGGCGGUUCUGUAAGUCAGUGGUGAAAUACUCUAGCUUAACUAGAGGGGUGCCAAUGAUACUGCAGAACUUGAGUACAGAUGAGGUAGGCGGAAUUGACGGUGUAGCGGUGAAAUGCAUAGAUAUCGUCAAGAACACCGAUAGCGAAGGCAGCUUACUGGGCUGUAACUGACGCUGAGGCACGAAAGUGUGGGGAUCAAACAGGAUUAGAAACCCGCGUAGUCC
This 292-nucleotide ribosomal RNA is filed under the name uncultured bacterium. Its description in RNAcentral is "partial 16S ribosomal RNA". It matches the Rfam family "Bacterial small subunit ribosomal RNA", at positions 505 to 796 of the family's 1533-position model. The record is from RNAcentral.